This 85-nucleotide transfer RNA is filed under the name bacterium. RNAcentral's name for it is "tRNA-Leu". It matches the Rfam family "tRNA". From Rfam's summary of the family: Transfer RNA (tRNA) molecules are approximately 80 nucleotides in length. The record is from RNAcentral.
GGCCGAGUGGCGGAAUGGCAGACGCACGGGACUUAAAAUCCCGAGGAGGGGAACCUCCGUGGGGGUUCGAGUCCCCCCUCGGCUA